This 759-nucleotide ribosomal RNA is filed under the name uncultured bacterium. Its description in RNAcentral is "bacterial SSU rRNA". It matches the Rfam family "Bacterial small subunit ribosomal RNA", at positions 102 to 857 of the family's 1533-position model. The record is from RNAcentral.
ACGGGUGAGUAAUGUCUGGGAAACUGCCCGAUGGAGGGGGAUAACUACUGGAAACGGUAGCUAAUACCGCAUAACGUCGCAAGACCAAAGAGGGGGACCUUCGGGCCUCUUGCCAUCGGAUGUGCCCAGAUGGGAUUAGCUUGUAGGUGAGGUAACGGCUCACCUAGGCGACGAUCCCUAGCUGGUCUGAGAGGAUGACCAGCCACACUGGAACUGAGACACGGUCCAGACUCCUACGGGAGGCAGCAGUGGGGAAUAUUGCACAAUGGGCGCAAGCCUGAUGCAGCCAUGCCGCGUGUAUGAAGAAGGCCUUCGGGUUGUAAAGUACUUUCAGCGGGGAGGAAGGGAGUGAGGUUAAUAACCUCAUUCAUUGACGUUACCCGCAGAAGAAGCACCGGCUAACUCCGUGCCAGCAGCCGCGGUAAUACGGAGGGUGCGAGCGUUAAUCGGAAUUACUGGGCGUAAAGCGCACGCAGGCGGUCUGUCAAGUCGGAUGUGAAAUCCCCGGGCUCAACCUGGGAACUGCAUUCGAAACUGGCAGGCUGGAGUCUUGUAGAGGGGGGUAGAAUUCCAGGUGUAGCGGUGAAAUGCGUAGAGAUCUGGAGGAAUACCGGUGGCGAAGGCGGCCCCCUGGACAAAGACUGACGCUCAGGUGCGAAAGCGUGGGGAGCAAACAGGAUUAGAUACCCUGGUAGUCCACGCUGUAAACGAUGUCGACUUGGAGGUUGUUCCCUUGAGGAGUGGCUUCCGGAGCUAACG